GUCUACGGCCAUAUCACCCUGAAUGCACGCCAUCUCGUCUGAGCUCAGAAGCUAAGCAGGGUUGGGCCUGGUUAGUUCUUGGAUGGGAGACCUCCUGGGAGCACUGGGUCCUGUAGGCU
This 119-nucleotide ribosomal RNA is filed under the name Chinchilla lanigera (long-tailed chinchilla). The record is from RNAcentral. Lineage: Eukaryota; Metazoa; Chordata; Mammalia; Rodentia; Chinchillidae.